UGGGGAAUCUUGCGCAAUGGACGAAAGUCUGACGCAGCGACGCCGCGUGGGUGAUGAAGGCCUUCGGGUUGUAAAGCCCUGUGGGGAGAGACGAAUAAGUGCCGCCUAAUACGUUGCAUGAUGACGGUAUCUCCUUAGCAAGCACCGGCUAACUCUGUGCCAGCAGCCGCGGUAAGACAGAGGGUGCAAACGUUGUUCGGAAUUACUGGGCGUAAAGCGUGUGUAGGCGGCCUCAUAAGUCGGAUGUGAAAGCCCCGGGCUCAACUCGGGAAGUGCACUCGAUACUGUGAGACUUGAGUAUCGGAGAGGUUGGUGGAAUUCUCGGUGUAGAGGUGAAAUUCGUAGAUAUCGAGAGGAACACCGGUGGCGAAAGCGGCCAACUGGACGAAUACUGACGCUGAGACACGAAAGCGUGGGGAGCAAACAGGAUUAGAUACCCCUGUAGUCC
This 448-nucleotide ribosomal RNA is filed under the name uncultured bacterium. RNAcentral's name for it is "bacterial SSU rRNA". It matches the Rfam family "Bacterial small subunit ribosomal RNA", at positions 355 to 796 of the family's 1533-position model. The record is from RNAcentral.